GACAGAGGGUGCAACCGUUGUUCGGAUUUACUGGGCGUAAAGAGCGCGCAGGCGGUCGGAUAAGUCGAAUGUGAAAGCCCCCGGCUCAACUGGGGAGGGUCAUUCGAUACUGUUCGACUCGAAGGCAGGAGAGGGAAGUGGAAUUCCCGGUGUAGUGGUGAAAUGCGUAGAUAUCGGGAGGAACACCAGUGGCGAAGGCGACUUCCUGGCCUGUUCUUGACGCUGAGGCGCGAAAGCUAGGGGAGCAAACGGG
Molecule: ribosomal RNA, 253 nt
Filed under: uncultured bacterium
Lineage: Bacteria
Description: partial 16S ribosomal RNA
Rfam family: Bacterial small subunit ribosomal RNA
Source: RNAcentral